Molecule: ribosomal RNA, 531 nt
Filed under: Bifidobacterium dentium
Lineage: Bacteria; Bacillati; Actinomycetota; Actinomycetes; Bifidobacteriales; Bifidobacteriaceae
Description: bacterial SSU rRNA
Rfam family: Bacterial small subunit ribosomal RNA
Source: RNAcentral
UGGUAAUGCCGGAUGCUCCGGUUGGAUGCAUGUCCUUCCGGGAAAGGUUCCAUCGGUAUGGGAUGGGGUCGCGUCCUAUCAGCUUGAUGGCGGGGUAACGGCCCACCAUGGCUUCGACGGGUAGCCGGCCUGAGAGGGCGACCGGCCACAUUGGGACUGAGAUACGGCCCAGACUCCUACGGGAGGCAGCAGUGGGGAAUAUUGCACAAUGGGCGCAAGCCUGAUGCAGCGACGCCGCGUGCGGGAUGGAGGCCUUCGGGUUGUAAACCGCUUUUGAUCGGGAGCAAGCCCUUCGGGGUGAGUGUACCUUUCGAAUAAGCACCGGCUAACUACGUGCCAGCAGCCGCGGUAAUACGUAGGGUGCAAGCGUUAUCCGGAAUUAUUGGGCGUAAAGGGCUCGUAGGCGGUUCGUCGCGUCCGGUGUGAAAGCCCAUCGCUUAACGGUGGGUCUGCGCCGGGUACGGGCGGGCUGGAGUGCGGUAGGGGAGACUGGAAUUCCCGGUGUAACGGUGGAAUGUGUAGAUAUCGGAA